GCGCCCAGCCAGGUUUUAAAAUUUUAAUCCAAGUAAAUAUAUUACAAGUAAAGAAAAAAAAUGGUAAACAAAAAAUAAAAGUCCCUCUCUCUGCUACCCUCCAAAUAUGCUUAGAGGUAAUUGCUAUUAAAACUUCCUUAUAUCUCCAGAAACUUUCCAUUCAUAUUCAAAGAUACACAUAUACCUUCCCAUUUAAAUAAAAAUCACAAAUGGGUAAGUCUAAAGAAUACAGUUCUUUCCCUUGAAACAAAUUUCCCCAGCUAUCCCCUCAAAUCAAAGUUAUUUUUUCCACACUAUUGAUUAACUUGAGGCUAGCCAUUACCAGCUUUCCAGCUGCAAUUCUGUUAGGCAGAGCACAGGUGCUGGGCCUAUUCUCUAAAAAGGAAAGGGAGGUAGGACUCCAGCUAGUGCUUCCCUGCUUUUAUUACACUUAUUCACAGGGACAUUAUGACUGAUCUGUGGAGAGGAAGCAAGGCAUAGUGUUUAAGGUGGCAGCUCUCAACACAGGCCACGUGAGCUCAAGUCCAGGCUCUACCAUGUAUUAGCUAUAUACCUUUGUUGCUCAGUUUCCUCAUCUGAAAAAUGAGGAAGUUAACAGUACUGAACUUAUAUGUUUGUGAGGAAUAAAGAGAAAAUUAGCAUAUGGAAAGCAUUCAGAAAAAUGCUCACAUGAGGAGCACUUAAAACAUACUAGGUAUGAUUUUUAAACAUACUCAACCAUGAUGCUUCCUAACCUGUUCAAGGGGCUGCAGCUGUUCCUUCAGGUGGUCAAUUUUCUCCAAUAAAUGGUGCUCUCUCUUUUUCUGAGACUCUUCUAAAUGCAGGACUGUAAAUAA
Sapajus apella (tufted capuchin) is the source of this 836-nucleotide long non-coding RNA. RefSeq lists it as uncharacterized. NCBI's taxonomy places the organism in Eukaryota, Metazoa, Chordata, Mammalia, Primates, Cebidae. The transcript is spliced from 2 exons. The record is from RefSeq and is a predicted model, not a curated record.